UACGGGGGGGGCGAGCGUUGUUCGGAAUUACUGGGCGUAAAGGGCGCGUAGGCGGUCUCGGAAGUUCUGGGUGAAAGUCCCCGGCUCAACCGGGGGAGGUCCCAGGAAACCACGGGGCUGGAGUGCUGGAGAGGGAAGUGGAAUUCCCGGUGGAGCGGUGAAAUGCGUAGAGAUCGGGAGGAACACCGGAGGCGAAGGCGGCUUCCUGGACAGACACUGACGCUGAGGCGCGAAAGCCAGGGGAGCGAACGGGAUUAGAUACC
This 263-nucleotide ribosomal RNA is filed under the name uncultured bacterium. RNAcentral's name for it is "partial 16S ribosomal RNA". It matches the Rfam family "Bacterial small subunit ribosomal RNA", at positions 524 to 786 of the family's 1533-position model. The record is from RNAcentral.